GAUGAACGCUGGCGGCGUGCCUAAUACAUGCAAGUCGAGCGAACGGACGAGAAGCUUGCUUCUCGGAUGUUAUCGGCGCACGGGUGAGUAACACGUGGAUAACCUACCUAUAAGACUGGGAUAACUUCGGGAAACCGGAGCUAAUACCGGGUGAUCUUUUAAACCGCAUGGUUCAAAAAUGAAAGACGGUCUUUCUGUCACUAAUAGAUGGUUCCUCGCUGCAUUAGCUAGUUGGUAAGGUAACGGCUUACCAAGGCAACGAUGCAUAGCCGACCUGAGAGGGUGAUCGGCAAACCUGGACCUGAGAAACGGCCCAGCCUCCUACGGGAGGCAGCAGUGGGGAAUCUUGCGCAAUGGGCGAAAGCCUGCCGGAGAACCGCCGCGUGAGGGAUGAAGGUCUUCGGAUGGUAAAACUCUGUUAUUAGGGAAGAACAUAUGUGUAAGUAAAUGUGCACAUCUUGACGGUACCUAAUCAGAAAGCCACGGCUAACUACGUG
This 497-nucleotide ribosomal RNA is filed under the name uncultured bacterium. Its description in RNAcentral is "partial 16S ribosomal RNA". It matches the Rfam family "Bacterial small subunit ribosomal RNA", at positions 28 to 507 of the family's 1533-position model. The record is from RNAcentral.